This 273-nucleotide ribosomal RNA is filed under the name uncultured bacterium. RNAcentral describes it as "partial 16S ribosomal RNA". It matches the Rfam family "Bacterial small subunit ribosomal RNA", at positions 524 to 796 of the family's 1533-position model. The record is from RNAcentral.
AACGUAGGAGACAAACGUUAUCCGGAGUUACUGGGCGUAAAGGGCGUGCAGGUGGUCUGUUAAGUCUGGCGUGAAAGCUCCCGGCUAAACCGGGCGAGGUCGUUGGAUACUGGCGGACUAGAGGACGGUAGAGGCGGGUGGAAUUCCGGGUGUAGUGGUGAAAUGCGUAGAGAUCCGGAGGAACACCAGUGGCGAAGGCGACCCGCUGGGCCGUACCUGACACUGAGACGCGACAGCAUGGGGAGCGAACGGGAUUAGAAACCCCCGUAGUCC